UUGGAGAUUUGGGCUCUGAAGAGUUGAACCUUGGUGCAUCAUUUUGGGACGGUUACAGAUUCACUCACCCACUCCUUAUCUCUCCACUGGCAGAUUUAAAGAUGCUAUCAGAAACCUUUACUUUGUGUUGAUUAUAGUGUCUCUUUCAGACAAAGUGAUGCCUCUCAUUUUUCUUUAUUGGUUUUAUCUCGCAUGUGUGUGUGUGACUCAUCGUUUUUGGGUUUAUCUCAGCCUUUCAGUUGCUAAUUCCCACCUACGGAAACGCUGUUGACUCAUCAAGAAUCUUUGCCAAGAAAAUUGCAGCAUAUAUUCAAUCUAUUUUAGAAACCUCUUGUUGGCAUCGAAUUUGAAAUCAUGUAUCAAUCUGUCACCCAAAAAAAUUAAAUGUUUGAUUUUAUGGUUUUAAACUUUACAUAGGGAGAAAAUGAUUUGCAAAACUUGAAGCUUUUUUUCCAAUACGAUCUGAGGUGAUUUCCCAACUUUACAAAAAGUAGGGCUCAAUAUUUAAUAUUGUUUUCUACAGCAGGGGUGCAUUCUGCGGCACAACAUCCGCACGCAGCGAUACGCAAAUUUUCCCCCCCUGCAAGGUAUCUAGGCCACAUUUGCUUACCGUGUUGCCGCACAUCAGUCUGCACUCUGCAUUGUAACCUAGUAAUCUGAUAGGACCAUGCUGCUUACGAGUGAGUCACAUUUGUUUCCACAAACAGACAAACUCCAGAGGUGAGAGCACUCAGUGCGCAUUUCGAAUUGGACGGUGGUUGCCUAGGCGCUGGGGUCCGCCUCCCGCCUUUUGUGGAAGGAGGGAACUUUUAAAGAGACAGCUGCUUCAAUCUUAAUGCAGAAAUAAAACAAAAUACAAAGAAAAUUAGAUUUUAUGUUCGAGAAAGAGAGAUGUAGCAGAUGAUGAUACUGUGGCAUCUCUCUCAAGCCAAUGCUUUUAUCACUUGUAGAAUAGAUUAUCUGGCCUCCCCAACAAGAAAAUUUCACACCUGCAAUUACUCCAAAAUUCAGCUGCGUGGAUGUUAACAAGAACCAGAAAGAGAGAUCACAUUACACGGAUUUUAAGGUUUCUACAUUGGCUACCCGUCUCUUUUACAAUAGAUUUUAAGGUUGCUUUACUGGUUUUUAAAGCUCUAAAUGGCUUUGGCCCUGCUUAUCUAUCUGAUCUUCUUUUACCUUAUGAGCCAGGUCGAGCCCUCAGGUCUUCAGGAAGUUCUCUUUUUACAUUGCCUAAAUUAAAACAAAGACAUGCGGUGAGGCAUCUUUUCACUACUACGGCCCCCCGUCUAUGGAACAGCUUACCUGAAGACCUGAGGACUGCACCUAAUCUUAAUGAUUUUAAAAGCAAACUCAAAACUUACCUUUUUAGUCUUGCUUUUAACUAAAUUUUAUAUCAUUAACUUUGUUUCAGUGUUUUUGCAUUUAUCUCUUCUAGUUUUAAUAACAGGAUUGUCUUUUAUUGAGCCAUUUUGGUGCUCUUAUUUUAGUAUCUUUUACUGUUGUUUUCAUUUCAUUUUAUUUAUUAUUUCUUAAAUUUCAUUCUAUGUUUCUUUGUUUUUAGAUUUUAACUUAAACCUCCAGUGUUUUAAAAUGACAUUUCCUCAUUGCGCACAUUCCUGUUUCUAUGAAAUCAAGCCUUUUUUAAGUUUAUGCAUUUUAAUACUGUUUCUGUUGCAUUUAGAUCGUGGGGUGGGAAUGAGGGGUUGGGCUGGGGUCGAUUUGGGUAUUCUUUGUUCCUUUUUCUGUGUGAAGCAUUUUGUGCUACUUGGUUGUGUAUGAAAAGUGCUAUACAAAUAAAGACUGAUUGAUUGAUUAAUUUGUUGAUCAGAAUCGGGACCUUGUUAAACCUGGGUGUGCUCCUCUUGUACAAAGCCUACGGGUACAGUACCUGUAAGAACUUGAUCCUGUUGAACCGAUCAGUUAAAAUGAAAAACUAAGCAGUUAUAAAUCUGUUCCUCUCUUGUGAAUGUCUCAGUCUU
Non-coding RNA from Xyrichtys novacula (pearly razorfish), 1979 nucleotides. NCBI's taxonomy places the organism in Eukaryota, Metazoa, Chordata, Actinopteri, Labriformes, Labridae. The record is from the annotation of a GenBank genome assembly.